Molecule: ribosomal RNA, 484 nt
Filed under: uncultured bacterium
Lineage: Bacteria
Description: partial 16S ribosomal RNA
Rfam family: Bacterial small subunit ribosomal RNA
Source: RNAcentral
GACGAACGCUGGCGGCGUGCUUAACACAUGCAAGUCGAACGAUGAAGCUAGAGCUUGCUCUGGUGAAUUAGUGGCGAACGGGUGAGUAACACGUGAGUAACCUGCCCCGAACUCUGGGAUAACUGCUGGAAACGGUAGCUAAUACUGGAUACGACCUACGAAGGCAUCUUCUGUAGGUGGAAAGAAUUUCGGUUCGGGAUGGACUCGCGGCCUAUCAGCUUGUUGGUGAGGUAAUGGCUCACCAAGGCGACGACGGGUAGCCGGCCUGAGAGGGUGACCGGGCACACGGGGACUGGGACACGGCCCAGACUCCUACGGGAGGCAGCAGUGGGGAAUAUUGCGCGAUGGGCGCAAUCCUGAUGCAGCAACGCCGCGUGAGGGAUGACGGCCUUCGGGUUGUAAACCUCUUUUAGUAGGGAAGAAGCGAAAGUGACGGUACCUGCAGAAAAAGCACCGGCUAACUACGUGCCAGCCGCCGCCGUAA